UAAGUGAUCAGGAAGGGGAUUUUUCUAGGGCGAGGCUCAUCCAUUGUACUUGGGAUGUGCUGACCCCUGGGAUUUCCCUAAAUGCAGGAAACUCGCCUGCAUAAUUUGUGGUAGUUGAGAGCUGCGUUCACACUCUCCG
Molecule: small nuclear RNA, 139 nt
Filed under: Nannospalax galili (Upper Galilee mountains blind mole rat)
Lineage: Eukaryota; Metazoa; Chordata; Mammalia; Rodentia; Spalacidae
Description: U1 spliceosomal RNA (ENSNGAG00000002677.1)
Rfam family: U1 spliceosomal RNA
About the family: U1 is a small nuclear RNA (snRNA) component of the spliceosome (involved in pre-mRNA splicing). Its 5' end forms complementary base pairs with the 5' splice junction, thus defining the 5' donor site of an intron. There are significant differences in sequence and secondary structure between metazoan and yeast U1 snRNAs, the latter being much longer (568 nucleotides as compared to 164 nucleotides in human).
Source: RNAcentral